This 446-nucleotide ribosomal RNA is filed under the name uncultured bacterium. RNAcentral's name for it is "partial 16S ribosomal RNA". It matches the Rfam family "Bacterial small subunit ribosomal RNA", at positions 338 to 795 of the family's 1533-position model. The record is from RNAcentral.
CCUACGGGGUGCAGCAGUCGAGAAUCAUUCACAAUGGGGGAAACCCUGAUGGUGCGACGCCGCGUGGGGGAAUGAAGGUCUUCGGAUUGUAAACCCCUGUCAUGUGGGAGCAAAUUAAAAAGAUAGUACCACAAGGGGAAGAGACGGCUAACUCGGUGCCAGCAGCCGCGGUAAUACAGAGGUCGCAAGCGUUGUUCGGAAUCACUGGGCGUAAAGCGUGCGUAGGCUGUUUCGUAAGGCGUGUGUGAAAGGUGCGGGCUCAACCCGCGGAUGGCACAUGUAAAUGGGAGACUAGAGUAAUGGAGGGGGAACCGGAAUUCGUGGUGUAGCAGUGAAAUGCGUAGAUAUCGAGAGGAACACUCGUGGCGAAGGCGGGUUCCUGGACAUUCACUGACGCUGAGGCACGAAGGUCAGGGGAGCGAAAGGGAUUAGAUACCCUAGUAGUC